This 617-nucleotide non-coding RNA is filed under the name Triticum aestivum (bread wheat). Its description in RNAcentral is "Bacterial small subunit ribosomal RNA". It matches the Rfam family "Bacterial small subunit ribosomal RNA", at positions 936 to 1226 of the family's 1533-position model. Lineage: Eukaryota; Viridiplantae; Streptophyta; Magnoliopsida; Poales; Poaceae. The record is from Rfam by way of RNAcentral.
AGCAUGUGGUUUAAUUCGAUACAAUGCGCAAAACCUUACCAGCCCUUGACAUAUGAACAACAAAACCUGUCCUUAACAGGAUGGUACUGACUUUCAUACAAGUGCUGCAUGGCUGUCGUCAGCUUGGGUCGUGAGAUGUUUGGUCAAGUCCUAUAAUGAGCGAAACCCUCAUUUUAUGUUGCUGAGACAUGCGCCUAAGGAGAAAUUGCCACCAAGUGACGUGCCAGCGCUACUACUUGAUUGAGUUCCAGCACGUAGCUCUGCUUUCAGCAAGAAUUUCACCAUUGGGAGCCGGUGCCUUUCGAAGCACUUUCACGUGUGAACCGAAGUCGUCUUGCCCAAGACCCAUGGAGACCUACCUAUAGUGACGUCAAAGUACCAGUGAGCAUGGAGGUUUGGUUGAAAUUGGUUACGACGACGUCGAGUUGGCGGCGGAGGAAGACUCGGCAUGAAGGCCAGAAAAUGGUGUGGAACGUAGUGGUAAUAGUACGUGCCCCGCUCCGAAACAAAGAAAAAGGUGCGUGCUGCACUCACGAGGGACUGCCAGUGAGAUACUGGAGGAAGGUGGGGAUGACGUCAAGUCCGCAUGGUGACUCUAUUGGUCAUAGUUCCUUGCU